Molecule: ribosomal RNA, 671 nt
Filed under: uncultured bacterium
Lineage: Bacteria
Description: bacterial SSU rRNA
Rfam family: Bacterial small subunit ribosomal RNA
Source: RNAcentral
GGGGGACAACCCGCCGAAAGGCGGGCUAAACCCGCGUACAUGCCACCGGGGCAUCCCGGAGGCAGGAAAGGCUUCGGCCGGACAGGGAUGGGCAUGCGGCGCAUUAGGCAGUAGGCGGGGUAACGGCCCACCUAACCGACGAUGCGUAGGGGUUCUGAGAGGAAGGUCCCCCACACUGGUACUGAGACACGGACCAGACUCCUACGGGAGGCAGCAGUGAGGAAUAUUGGUCAAUGGUCGGGAGACUGAACCAGCCAAGCCGCGUGAGGGAGGAAGGUACAGAGUAUCGUAAACCUCUUUUGUCAGGGAACAAAGACUGGGACGCGUCCCCGGAUGAGUGUACCUGAAGAAAAAGCAUCGGCUAACUCCGUGCCAGCAGCCGCGGUAAUACGGAGGAUGCGAGCGUUAUCCGGAUUUAUUGGGUUUAAAGGGUGCGCAGGCGGUCUGUUAAGUCAGCGGUCAAAGCCCGGGGCUCAACCCCGGCCCGCCGUUGAAACUGGCAGUCUCGAGUUGGAGAGAAGUAUGCGGAAUGCGCGGUGUAGCGGUGAAAUGCAUAGAUAUCGCGCAGAACUCCGAUUGCGAAGGCAGCAUGCCGGCUCCACACCGACGCUGAGGCACGAAAGCGUGGGUAUCGAACAGGAUUAGAUACCCUGGUAGUCCACGCAGUAAAC